AGAGUUUGAUCCUGGCUCAGGACGAACGCUGGCGGCGCGCUUAACACAUGCAAGUCGUACGCUGGGGCUUCGGCCCUGGAGUGGCGGACGGGUGCGUAACACGUGAGUGAUCUGCCCAGAUGGGGGGGAUACCCAGGGGAAACCCUGGUUAAUCCCGCAUGUGGUUUUGUCCCUUCAUGGGGAUUCAAUCAAAGGUCCUGGCAACGGGACUCUGUCUGGAGGAGCUCGCGGCGUAUCAGCUAGUUGGUAGGGUAACGGCCUACCAAGGCAACGACGCGUAGGGGGUCUGAGAGGAUGACCCCCCACAUGGGGACUGAGAUACGGCCCCGACUCCUACGGGAGGCAGCAGUGGGGAAUAUUGCACAAUGGGCGCAAGCCUGAUGCAGCGACGCCGCGUGAGGGAUGACGGCCUUCGGGUUGUAAACCUCUUUCAGUAGGGAAGAAGCGAAAGUGACGGUACCUGCAGAAGAAGCGCCGGCUAACUACGUGCCAGCAGCCGCGGUAAUACGAAGGGGGCUAGCGUUGCUCGGAAUUACUGGGCGUAAAGGGCGCGUAGGCGGCGCUGUUAGUCAGGCGUGAAAUUCCUGGGCUCAACCUGGGGACUGCGCUUGAUACGGCAGUGCUUGAGGAUGGAAGAGGCUCGCGGAAUUCCCAGUGUAGAGGUGAAAUUCGUAGAUAUUGGGAAGAACACCGGUGGCGAAGGCGGCGAGCUGGUCCAUUACUGACGCUGAGGCGCGACAGCGUGGGGAGCAAACAGGAUUAGAUACCCCCGUAGUCC
RNAcentral lists this ribosomal RNA (778 nucleotides) under uncultured Belnapia sp. RNAcentral's name for it is "bacterial SSU rRNA". It matches the Rfam family "Bacterial small subunit ribosomal RNA", at positions 8 to 796 of the family's 1533-position model. The record is from RNAcentral. Lineage: Bacteria; Pseudomonadati; Pseudomonadota; Alphaproteobacteria; Acetobacterales; Roseomonadaceae.